AUGCCGCCUCGCCGUCGGGGAGGUUCGGGCUUCCGCGGCGUCCGCGUGCGUCCGUCCGGCACCUACUCCGCCUCGAUCCGGUUGGGCGGCGGCGUGCGCCUUGGCCUCGGAACCUUCGACACCGCCCAGGACGGCGCCCGCGCGUACGACGCUGCGGCGUGGCGCCUCCGGCAGUCCCGUUGGGACAUGAACUUCACCGACGUGGCGACGCCAGAGCAAGCACAGGAGUUGGCUCCUUUCCCGCGGCUUAUCACCGACGAGGAUCGGCGCAAAAACGGAGGCGGGAGCGCCGUCUCAGCCUGGCCGAGAUGGACGAGGAAGCCAUGGCGCUGUGGAGGCAACGCUUCCCGCAAGAUAUCAUCAACGAGGAGCAGUUCUUCGCCGAGAGGAGGGCGGAGAGGAAGGGGAAGAGGAAGGAGCGAGCCGCCUAUCGCGAGGACAAGCGAACGCGGAAGGCGGUCGCUAAAUACAACAUGGCGUUAG
Molecule: ribosomal RNA, 483 nt
Filed under: Triticum aestivum (bread wheat)
Lineage: Eukaryota; Viridiplantae; Streptophyta; Magnoliopsida; Poales; Poaceae
Description: partial small subunit ribosomal RNA
Source: RNAcentral